This 253-nucleotide ribosomal RNA is filed under the name uncultured bacterium. RNAcentral's name for it is "partial 16S ribosomal RNA". It matches the Rfam family "Bacterial small subunit ribosomal RNA", at positions 524 to 776 of the family's 1533-position model. The record is from RNAcentral.
UACGUAGGGGGCGAGCGUUGUCCGGAAUCAUUGGGCGUAAAGCGCGUGUAGGCGGCUCGAUAAGUCCGGUGUGAAACCUUGGGGCUCAACCCCAAGCCUGCACUGGAUACUGCCGAGCUAGAGUCCGGGAGGGGAGAUCGGAAUUCCUGGUGUAGCGGUGAAAUGCGCAGAUAUCAGGAGGAACACCGGUGGCGAAGGCGGAUCUCUGGGCCUGUCCUGACGCUGAGGCGCGAAAGCUAGGGGAGCGAACAGG